CAAUAGCGUAUAUUAAAGUUGUUGCAGUUAAAAAGCUCGUAGUUGGAUUUCUGGGAGGGUGCCGCCGUCCGGCGUGUCCGUGUGCAGUGGCGCCCUUCCAUCCUUCUGUUAGCGUCUCUUGGCAUUCAUUUGCUGGUGGCGGGCUCAGAUAUUUUACCUUGAGAAAAUUAGAGUGUUUCAGGCAGGCUAGGCCGGAAUACAUUAGCAUGGAAUAAUGGAAUAGGACUACGGUCUCUUUGUUGGUCUGUGAGACCAGAGUAAUGAUUAAGAGGGACAGUCGGGGACAUUCGUAUUUCAUUGUCAGAGGUGAAAUUCUUGGAUUUAUGAAAGACGAACUUCUGCGAAAGCAUUUGUCAAGGAUGUUUUCAUUAA
This 372-nucleotide ribosomal RNA is filed under the name uncultured eukaryote. Its description in RNAcentral is "partial 18S ribosomal RNA". It matches the Rfam family "Eukaryotic small subunit ribosomal RNA", at positions 592 to 976 of the family's 1831-position model. The record is from RNAcentral.